GUUUCUAUCUAUAAUGAAGUGUAAUGUUUUAGUACGAAAGGACCGGGCAUUAAAAAUAAUUUUAACUA
RNAcentral lists this transfer RNA (68 nucleotides) under Malaccina discoidalis. Its description in RNAcentral is "tRNA-Leu". The record is from RNAcentral. Lineage: Eukaryota; Metazoa; Arthropoda; Insecta; Blattodea; Blattellidae.